AGAGUUUGAUCCUGGCUCUGAACGAACGCUGAUGGCGUGCCUCAUACAUGCAAGUCGAGCGCCCCGCAAGGGGAGCGACGAACGGGUGAGUAACACGUGAACAAUCUGCCUCAAAGUGGGGGAUAACCAUUCCAACGGAUGGCUAAUACCGCAUAGGGUUCGGAGGGGGCAUCCCUUCCUUACGAAAGCUUCACGCGCUUUGAGAUGAGUUCGCGUCCCAUUAGCUAGUUGGCGGGGUAACGGCCCACCAAGGCAACGAUGGGUAGCCGGCCUGAGAGGGUGUCCGGCCACAUUGGGACUGAGAUACGGCCCAGACUCCUACGGGAGGCAGCAGUAGGGAAUUUUGCGCAAUGGGGGAAACCCUGACGCAGCAACGCCAUGUGUGGGAUGAAGCAUUUCGGUGUGUAAACCACUGUCGGCAGGGAAUAAAGUCCGCGCUUGCGCGGAGGUGAAUGUACCUGCAGAGGAAGCCCCGGCUAACUUCGUGCCAGCAGCCGCGGUAAUUC
RNAcentral lists this ribosomal RNA (506 nucleotides) under uncultured bacterium. RNAcentral's name for it is "bacterial SSU rRNA". It matches the Rfam family "Bacterial small subunit ribosomal RNA", at positions 8 to 526 of the family's 1533-position model. The record is from RNAcentral.